CAAAGAAGCCAUGUGUUGCGACAUGGCAUGCUAACUGUACCGAUGUGGUUGGGAUUUCCGGUGCACGACCUUCCAGGCAUGGCUGCACAGUGCUGACCCCCCCCUGGCAGCUUCAAUUCGACCAUCACUCAGCGCAGCACAAUUUCAGCCGGAGCCUCAGCCGGCCGAAUUAGGAGAAACAUAAACAAACAGCAGAACAGAGCGGAGAAAGAGGAUGGAGGCAGCGACGCUGGUCGCAAAAGAACAAGACAGAAACAUAAUAAGGGCAGAGAGAGGCAGCGAGAGAGGCAGCGAGUGGGGCAGCGGGCCUGUACUAGCCUCCACAGCCGGGGACUUGCAAAUGAACUAAUCACCUGAGGGGAUUCUUCUCAGCUUACUUAAACAACCAGAACCUUUUCCUGCUGCAGCCCCAUUUGGAUGCACUUCCCAGAAGAAGAAAAAACAUGAAGUCACUGACUAUCGGGUCAUUUCAAACAAGUCGGAACAAGCUCAAGUCUGUGGCACUCUGCAAUCUUCGUUAUACUCUGAGAAGCCAUGAGGAAACCAAUUACAAGAUGUGACUAAAGAGAAACAGCAGUUGGGGAAAGAAAAAAGAAAAGAGAAAAGAAAAGCAAUCAUGGAUCUAGAGCCAUUGUAAGGAAAUAUUAUUCUCUUAGC
Notothenia coriiceps (black rockcod) is the source of this 657-nucleotide long non-coding RNA. RefSeq lists it as uncharacterized. NCBI's taxonomy places the organism in Eukaryota, Metazoa, Chordata, Actinopteri, Perciformes, Nototheniidae. The record is from RefSeq and is a predicted model, not a curated record. The transcript is spliced from 4 exons.